GUGUGUGUGUGUGUGUGUCCUCCCCAGGUGCUGUAUAAGACUGCGUGGAGUGAGAGCAUCGGUCGGGACUGUGCUGCAUUCUGUGCAAAGAAGUACUCUGAUCAUCUCCAUCGUUUCCAUGAGGAUGGGGGAAAUGGUGACAUGUGGCAGUGAUGUCAUCACCUUAGGCCCCUCCCACCCCCUCCCCAGAGCACGAGCAUCAGUGUGUGUGUGUGUGUGUGAGUGUGAGUGAGGCCCUGUAUGUGAAUAUUCUUCUCGCGCUCUGUAGCAGUGAUGGGCCUCUCUGGGUCAGAAGAGAUUUAAGACUUUCACUCUAUUCCGCUCUAUCUGGACACUUGAGAGUUCCGCUCUGUCUGGACACCCUAUGAAGCACCUGCAUCUCUGGAGCUCUAAGCUCUAAGCUCUAAGCUCUAGGAUGGACGCAAAACUGUUUCUGUUCUGUUCCAAGUGCAAAUGUAAUCUUUAGUUAGUGGGGCCGUCUGAACAUGGUUGAGAUUAUUAUAUAUAUGCUCUAGCUGGGGAGAAGUUAACACUUUCCUGGGGAUUUGGUGUGUGUGUGUGUGUGUGUGUAUCUGGUGUGUGUGUGUAUUCUGACAGCCUUCAUGUCAGAUGCGUGUGUAUGUGUAUUCUCAAGCCUUCAAGGCUGCUUAUUCUAUGCAGAUCUAACAUAGCGUGCGUGUGUGUGUGUGUGCAUGUGUGUGUGUGUGUGUGUGUGUGUGUGUAUGUCUGUGUCUGCCUAUAGCUAAAUAAAGUUAUAUUCACUGCUA
This is a long non-coding RNA of Alosa alosa (allis shad), 767 nucleotides long. RefSeq lists it as uncharacterized. NCBI's taxonomy places the organism in Eukaryota, Metazoa, Chordata, Actinopteri, Clupeiformes, Clupeidae. The record is from RefSeq and is a predicted model, not a curated record. The transcript is spliced from 2 exons.